Molecule: ribosomal RNA, 482 nt
Filed under: uncultured bacterium
Lineage: Bacteria
Description: partial 16S ribosomal RNA
Rfam family: Bacterial small subunit ribosomal RNA
Source: RNAcentral
AGUGAACGCUGGCGGCGUGCUUAACACAUGCAAGUCGAACGGUAGCAGAUAGAAGCUUGCUUCUAUGCUGACGAGUGGCGCACGGGUGAGUAAUGUGUAGCUAACGUGCCCCUUAGAGGGGGAUAACAGUUGGAAACGGCUGCUAAUACCCCAUACUCCUUCUAUCUUAAUGAUAGUUGGGAAAUGUUUUUUCGCUAAGGGAUCGGGCUAUAUGGUAUCAGCUAGUUGGUGAGGUAAUGGCUCACCAAGGCAAUGACACCUAGCUGGUCUGAGAGGAUGAUCAGCCACACUGGAACUGAGACACGGUCCAGACUCCUACGGGAGGCAGCAGUGGGGAAUAUUGCACAAUGGGGGGAACCCUGAUGCAGCAACGCCGCGUGGAGGAUGACACAUUUCGGUGCGUAAACUCCUUUUAUAUAGGAAGAUAAUGACGGUACUAUAUGAAUAAGCACCGGCUAACUCCGUGCCAGCCGCCGCCGUAA